GACGAACGCUGGCGGCGUGCCUAAUACAUGCAAGUCGAGCGAGCGGAACUAACAGAUUUACUUCGGUAAUGACGUUAGGAAAGCGAGCGGCGGAUGGGUGAGUAACACGUGGGGAACCUGCCCCAUAGUCUGGGAUACCACUUGGAAACAGGUGCUAAUACCGGAUAAGAAAGCAGAUCGCAUGAUCAGCUUUUAAAAGGCGGCGUAAGCUGUCGCUAUGGGAUGGCCCCGCGGUGCAUUAGCUAGUUGGUAAGGUAAAGGCUUACCAAGGCGAUGAUGCAUAGCCGAGUUGAGAGACUGAUCGGCCACAUUGGGACUGAGACACGGCCCAAACUCCUACGGGAGGCAGCAGUAGGGAAUCUUCCACAAUGGACGCAAGGCUGAUGGAGCAACGCCGCGUGAGUGAAGAAGGUUUUCGGAUCGUAAAGCUCUGUUGUUGGUGAAGAAGGAUAGAGGUAGUAACUGGCCUUUAUUUGACGGUAAUCAACCAGAAAGUCACGGCUAACUACGUG
RNAcentral lists this ribosomal RNA (512 nucleotides) under uncultured bacterium. RNAcentral's name for it is "partial 16S ribosomal RNA". It matches the Rfam family "Bacterial small subunit ribosomal RNA", at positions 28 to 507 of the family's 1533-position model. The record is from RNAcentral.